AAUUGGACAAGGUAGUUUUGGCUCUGUAUAUAGAGGAAGUCUUGAUCUACAUGGUGAAAGGAUAGUUGCUGUGAAGGUAAUCAACCUUCAUCAACAUGGAGCAUCCAAGAGCUUCAUUGCUGAGAGCAGAGCAUUGCGGAACAUCAGGCACCGAAAUCUGGUGAAGAUCUUGACAUACUGCUCAAGCAUUGAUUUUAAAGGCAAUGACUUCAAAGCUUUUGUGCUUGAUUUCAUGGUGAAUGGAAGUUUAGAAAUGUGGUUGCAUCCAAAUGAAGAUAGUAAUAGCCAGCCAAGGAAUUUAAACCUUCUUCAAAGGCUUCGGGUUGCCAUUGAUUUGUCAUCUGCAUUGCAUUACCUUCAUGACCUUUGUGAAACACCAAUCAUUCACUGCGACCUGAAGCCAAGCAAUAUUCUGCUUGACAAUGACAUGACUGCUCAUGUGGGUGAUUUCGGAUUAGCAAGGCUUCUUUCCAAAACCUCAAGCAACUCUUCUCAGGACCAAACGAGCUCCAUUAGGAUAAAGGGAACAAUCGGCUAUAUGCCUCCAGAAUAUGGAAUAGGUGGCGAGCCAACAACAUAUGGGGAUGUGUAUAGCUUUGGAAUAAUUUUGUUGGAGAUUAUCACAGGACGGAGACCAAUUGAUGAAGUGUUCACAGAUAGUUUGAAUCUCCACAACUUUGUUAGGUCUAAGCUACCGGGACAAGUAAUGCAGGUUCUAGAUCCCAAACUUAUUGCAACAGGAGAAGUGGGAGCAGAAGAAAUUGUUGAAGACAAUGAGAGUAAUGAUGGUCAAACAGAAAUCCAAGAAGAUAAUGUCAAUAUUGAAAAUUUGAAAUUACAGGGAAGCAAUGUGCAAAAAUGUGUUGUAUCAGUCCUCAAAAUAGGACUCGCAUGCUCGGCAGAACUACCAGGAGAUCGAAUGAAUAUGAUCGAUGUCACAAGAAAAUUAAGCGUUAUCACAGAGGCUUUCCUUCGUGCAAGGACUCAGAGAACGACAAAUCGUAAACCACUAUUAGGUAUGAGUUUAUUAUUUUUUUUUUAACACACAUUCUGAUUGAUGAAUCUUAUAUUAUCUUCAUAUUUGCUUAGCCCAAAGGCUACUUUGAUCAUUUGGAUAUUGCAGGAAUACGCUGUGGCAAUCAAGCAUCUAGGCCCCCACUAACCUGAGCUUUUGGAUCUCACUCAAUUUCAACAAUAAAUGUUCUAUGAACAUCAAUCUUCAGCAGAUAAACCUCAAGUUCUACCUCGUGAACUGUCUGCGAGGCUUUUCUAAUCGUUUCUUUCAACUAAAUUUAAAAUUAGAAUGUGC
Molecule: unclassified non-coding RNA, 1309 nt
Filed under: Hevea brasiliensis (rubber tree)
Lineage: Eukaryota; Viridiplantae; Streptophyta; Magnoliopsida; Malpighiales; Euphorbiaceae
Source: RNAcentral